This 403-nucleotide ribosomal RNA is filed under the name uncultured bacterium. RNAcentral describes it as "partial 16S ribosomal RNA". It matches the Rfam family "Bacterial small subunit ribosomal RNA", at positions 28 to 526 of the family's 1533-position model. The record is from RNAcentral.
GACGAACGCUGGCGGCGUGCCUAAUACAUGCAAGUCGAACGCAGUGGGGACGGGUGAGUAACACGUGGGUAACCUCCCAUCAGAGGGGAUAACACUUGGAAACAGGUGCUAAACCGAUACUGAUGGAUGAACCCGCGGUGCAUUAGCUAGUUGGUGGGGUAACGGCUCACCAAGUCCACGAUGCAUAGCCGGCCUGAGAGGAUGAGCGGCCACACUGGAACUGAGACACGGCCCAGACUCCUACGGGAGGCAGCAGUGGGGAAUAUUGGGCAAUGGACGAAAGUCUGACCGAGCAACGCCGCGUGAGUGAAGAAGGUUUUCGGAUCGUAAAGCUCUUUUGGUGGAGAAGCGGUAUCUGACCAGAAAGCAACGGCUAACUACGUGCCAGCAGCCGCGGUAAUAC